Molecule: RNA transcript, 928 nt
Organism: Carassius carassius (crucian carp)
Lineage: Eukaryota; Metazoa; Chordata; Actinopteri; Cypriniformes; Cyprinidae
Gene name: antimicrobial peptide NK-lysin-like
Exons: 5
Source: RefSeq, a predicted model, not a curated record
CAUCUUCACAUGUUGAGGGUGCUACUGGUCUCUCUUUGUCUGUGGUUUUUGGUUAAAAACUGUUUCAAAAAGAGUGUCACCAAAGACCUACAACAAGCAGAGAGUUUUCAGUCUCAUUGUGUUCACUCUUUUUUCCAAACAAGAUGCUGCGGAGAAUCGUCCUGAUCACCCUGCUGAUAUCCUCAGCUUGUGCUCUUCACUGGGAAAUGCACAUAAAAGAAUCUAUUGGAAAUCAACUUGAAGAAAGCUCUGGUGAGAUACAAACAGAACAACUCCCUGGAUUGUGCUGGGCUUGCAAGUGGGCCAUGGGGAAGCUGAAAAAACGAAUCUCCAAUGGGACAACUGCGGUGGAAAUUAAAAAGAAGCUUGAAGAUGUCUGUGAUCAGAUUGGCUUCCUGAAAUCACUGUGUAGGAAGUUUGUGAACAAGUACACGGACACUCUUGUCGAAGAACUUUCAACAACUGAUGACGCCAAAACCAUCUGUGUUAACAUUGGUGUUUGCAAGAAAAAGGAAUAGAGUUAAUGACCUUAAGGAAUCCUUGAUAAAUUGAAAAAAAUAUGCUUUUUUAUUUGUUUCUAAAGGGCUUUUCACACUGUACUUAACCAUGAGUUACUGUCAUUCUAAACCCAAUUUUUUAUUUAUUUUUUAACCCUGGGUAAAGGAACAUUUCACACUUGUAAUUUAGAAACUGAGUUAGAACCACUUUUUGAAACGAUGUGGUGUUAGAAUGUUACAUAAGCAGCCGUUUAGGGCCACAGGGAAUCAGGGGCAACAUCUGAUAUUGGCAAAACAUAUUUGGCAAACACUCCAAUGUGUACGACUAUUUGUGUUCUGGAAAGCAGCAAAUUGAUUGAUUGUUAAUUAACGGAACAUUGUGAGAUUGCAGUGAACUGAAGAGAAUGACAGCUUUUAGUGAUUAUAUAUAU